GCGUGAGUGAUGAAGGCCUUCGGGUUGUAAAGCUCUUUUGUCAGGGACGAUGAUGACGGUACCUGACGAAUAAGCUCCGGCUAACUUCGUGCCAGCAGCCGCGGUAAUACGAGGGGAGCUAGCGUUGUUCGGAAUUACUGGGCGUAAAGGGCGUGUAGGCGGUACCAUAAGUCAGAUGUGAAAGCCCUAGGCUUAACCUAGGAGGUGCAUUUGAUACUGUGGAACUAGAGAUCUAGAGAGGAAAGUGGAAUUACGAGUGUAGAGGUGAAAUUCGU
RNAcentral lists this ribosomal RNA (275 nucleotides) under uncultured bacterium. Its description in RNAcentral is "partial 16S ribosomal RNA". It matches the Rfam family "Bacterial small subunit ribosomal RNA", at positions 399 to 691 of the family's 1533-position model. The record is from RNAcentral.